UGGGGGAUAUUGCACAAUGGGGGAAACCCUGAUGCAGCGAUGCCGCGUGAGUGAAGACGGCCUUCGGGUUGUAAAGCUCUGUCGCAGGGGACGAAAAUGACGGUACCCUGCAAGAAAGCUCCGGCUAACUACGUGCCAGCAGCCGCGGUAAUACGUAGGGAGCAAGCGUUGUCCGGAAUUACUGGGUGUAAAGGGAGCGUAGGCGGGAGGAUAAGUUGAAUGUGAAAUCCAUGGGCUCAACCCAUGGCUGCGUUCAAAACUGUUCUUCUUGAGUGAAGUAGAGGCAGGCGGAAUUCCUAGUGU
Molecule: ribosomal RNA, 303 nt
Filed under: uncultured bacterium
Lineage: Bacteria
Description: bacterial SSU rRNA
Rfam family: Bacterial small subunit ribosomal RNA
Source: RNAcentral